ACAUGCAGUCGAGGGAGAUUGUUGGAUUCGUCUGACAUGAAACCGGCGCACGGGUGCGUAACACGUAUGCAACCUACCUUUAACUGGGGUAUAGCUCAGAGAAAUCUGAAUUAAUCCCCCAUAAGACUACGACAUGGCAUCAUGAUGUAGUUAAAGCUCCGGCGGUUAAGGAUGGGCAUGCGGUACAUUAGCUAGUUGGUGAGGUAAUGGCUCACCAAGGCUACGAUGUAUAGGGGGUCUGAGAGGAUGAUCCCCCACACUGGUACUGAGACACGGACCAGACUCCUACGGGAGGCAGCAGUAGGGAAUAUUGGUCAAUGGACGCAAGUCUGAACCAGCCAUGCCGCGUGAAGGAUGAAGGCCCUAUGGGUCGUAAACUUCUUUUAUUAGGGAAGAAAAAACGGGAUGCGUCCUGUACUGACGGUACUUAAUGAAUAAGGAUCGGCUAACUUCGUGCCAGCAGCCGCGGUAAGACGAAGGAUCCAAGCGUUGUCCGGAUUUACUGGGUUUAAAGGGUGCGUAGGCGGAAAAUUAAGUCAGUGGUGAAAGCCCGCAGCUCAACUGUGGAACUGCCAUUGAAACUGGUUUUCUUGAAUAUAGCUGAGGCAGAUGGAAUAUAACAUGUAGCGGUGAAAUGCUUAGAUAUGUUAUAGAACACCGAUUGCGAAGGCAGUCUGCUAAACUAUUAUUGACGCUGAGG
Molecule: ribosomal RNA, 700 nt
Filed under: uncultured bacterium
Lineage: Bacteria
Description: bacterial SSU rRNA
Rfam family: Bacterial small subunit ribosomal RNA
Source: RNAcentral